UACAGGGGGUGCAAACGUUGCUCGGAAUUAUUGGGCGUAAAGCGCACGUAGGUGGUCAUCUAAGUUGGAUGUGAAAGCCCUGGGCUCAACCCAGGAAGUGCAUCCAAAACUGGAUAGCUAGAAUGUGGAAGAGGGUCGCGGAAUUCCCGGUGUAGAGGUGAAAUUCGUAGAUAUCGGGAGGAACACCAGUGGCGAAGGCGGCGACCUGGUCCAACAUUGACGCUGAGGUGCGAAAGCGUGGGGAGCAAACAGG
This 253-nucleotide ribosomal RNA is filed under the name uncultured bacterium. RNAcentral's name for it is "partial 16S ribosomal RNA". It matches the Rfam family "Bacterial small subunit ribosomal RNA", at positions 524 to 776 of the family's 1533-position model. The record is from RNAcentral.